This 461-nucleotide ribosomal RNA is filed under the name uncultured Bacillota bacterium. RNAcentral describes it as "bacterial SSU rRNA". It matches the Rfam family "Bacterial small subunit ribosomal RNA", at positions 28 to 504 of the family's 1533-position model. Lineage: Bacteria; Bacillati; Bacillota. The record is from RNAcentral.
GACGAACGCUGGCGGCGUGCCUAACACAUGCAAGUCGAGCGGGGUGAAUUCCUUCGGGAAUGAAACUAGCGGCGGACGGGUGAGUAACACGUGGGUAACCUGCCUUAUAGAGGGGAAUAGCCUCCCGAAAGGGAGAUUAAUACCGCAUAAUAUUGAAACUUCGCAUGAAGUUUCAAUCAAAGGAGCAAUCCGCUAUAAGAUGGGCCCGCGGCGCAUUAGCUAGUUGGUGAGGUAACGGCUCACCAAGGCGACGAUGCGUAGCCGACCUGAGAGGGUGAUCGGCCACAUUGGGACUGAGACACGGCCCAGACUCCUACGGGAGGCAGCAGUGGGGAAUAUUGCACAAUGGGGGAAACCCUGAUGCAGCAACGCCGCGUGAGUGAUGAAGGUCUUCGGAUCGUAAAGCUCUGUCUUCAGGGACGAUAAUGACGGUACCUGAGGAGGAAGCCACGGCUAACUAC